Molecule: long non-coding RNA, 1081 nt
Organism: Liolophura sinensis
Lineage: Eukaryota; Metazoa; Mollusca; Polyplacophora; Chitonida; Chitonidae
Exons: 2
Source: RefSeq, a predicted model, not a curated record
CCCUCACCAGAAAAGUACGAUGAUGCGCUAAAGGACCAUGACGUCAUCAUCAUGCCCACGCUGCCGUUCAAGGCCCUGAAAAUCCCCAAGGCGAAUAGUACAGUCGCUGAGAGAAUCAAAACAGCUAUAUCCAUGGUUCAAAACACAGCGCCGUUUGACGUCACAGGUCACCCCUCUCUGUCCAUCAGCGUGGGAAAGUCUGAGGGACUUCCGAUCGGGAUGCAGAUCACUGGGAACUGUUUGACGAUCUCACUGUUCUCCAAGUGGCUUCAUGUCUUCGAAAGUACUCGAGGAUCAGAAGUAAAAUGGGUGAGAACGAUGUUUCACAGAAUAUUACAGUACUUUUUAUGCAUAAACAUUAUUGAAAAGGUCAAUAUCUACACUGAGUAGCCAUCACGUUGUGUAGGUCAUUUUACUUAAUACCAAAUAUAGGUUGUAGUUAAGUACAUUGGUGUAAAUAAGCGUAACUUUUUUUGGACUUACCUGAAAUAUUGUAGAAUUAAUUCUUAGAAACUGGAGAACGAUAUUUCAUAGAAUAUGACAGUACUUGUACCCUGUUAAUGGACUUUUUACCCUGUUACUGUUAAUAAUGGACUUUUCUCUUUGUAUGGUGUUGUUUGGUGUCACAAGUAAUUUUUUAGAAAAGGUUUGUUAAAAUGUACAACAUCCUUUUGUGUGGUUAGAAAAUUUGAUAUCAAGGUAAAUCAUAAAAUAUGAGUUAGUUCAAUUUUAUCCGGGAAAGCCACAUAUACCGAAAGUAUUCCCAGACUUGGUAAUUAUCCAUCUGUGUUAUUUCUUCUUAGAAAAGACCAAAUGUCUGGUUUUAAGACUUUGUUUUUGUGUAGUUGAUCAUCUUCUCUGUACAGUUUUUAUAAGCCUUUGGCUGGCAUUAUUGCGAAACUGGCGUUAAGCCAUUAUCAUUAUCAUCCAUUCGUUCAUUUUUAAAAGCUUUUGAAAUAAUAAUGUCGACUUAGUUCAAUGUGAGAUCUGUUUUUGUGUAGGAUAGAAUGCUAAGACAUACUCAAGAAUAUUGUUUUGAUUCAAAAGACCUAUAAAAUUCGUUCUAAUGAAAUUUUCCAAA